RNAcentral lists this ribosomal RNA (433 nucleotides) under uncultured bacterium. Its description in RNAcentral is "partial 16S ribosomal RNA". It matches the Rfam family "Bacterial small subunit ribosomal RNA", at positions 28 to 507 of the family's 1533-position model. The record is from RNAcentral.
AACGAACGCUGGCGGCAUGCCUAACACAUGCAAGUCGAACGAGACGGCCGGGUCUAGGGGCGCAGGGGGGGGUGAGGCGGGGGAAGCUGCCCGUGGGUUCGGAGUAACUCCCCGAAGGGGGACCUAAGACCGGUGAAUGUAAUCGGACCAAAGAGCUGUCGCCUUUGGAUGGGGGCGGGUUGGAUUAGGUGGUUGGUAGGGUAAAAGCCUACCAAGGCGACGAUGCAUAGCUGGUCGGAGAGGAUGGUUAGCAACGCUGGGGCUGCGACACGGCCCAGACGCCUACGGGAGGGAGCAGUGGGGAAUAUUGUGCACUGGGCCCAAGCCUGAUCCAGCCAUGCCGCGUGAGUGAUGCUGCCCUUAGGGUUGUAAAGCUCUUUUACCCGGGAUGAUAAUGACAGUACCGGGAGAAUAAGCUCCGGCUAACUCCGUG